Molecule: ribosomal RNA, 253 nt
Filed under: uncultured bacterium
Lineage: Bacteria
Description: partial 16S ribosomal RNA
Rfam family: Bacterial small subunit ribosomal RNA
Source: RNAcentral
UACGAAGGGUGCAAGCGUUACUCGGAAUUACUGGGCGUAAAGCGUGCGUAGGUGGUUCGUUAAGUCUGAUGUGAAAGCCCUGGGCUCAACCUGGCAAUUGCAUUGGAUACUGGCGAGCUAGAGUGCGGUAGAGGAUGGCGGAAUUCCCGGUGUAGCAGUGAAAUGCGUAGGGAUCGGAAGGAACAUCUGUGGCGAAGGCGACUAUCUGGGCCAACACUGACACUGAGGCACGAAAGCGUGGGGAGCAAACAGG